GGGAAGGUAGUCGUAACAAGGUUUCCGUAGGUGAAACCUGCGGAAGGAUCAUUGUCGAAUCCUACAGACCACCGCGAACCCGUAAUCAAAACGGCGGGCUGCUCGGGGGCGGGGGAGACCCCGUCACCGGGCGCGCGCACCCACUCACAAAUCCGGCGCGAAAAGCGCCAAGUAAUACUCAAAAGGAUCGCCUCGGCGUCCCGGCGGCUUCCGCAGGGUUCGCGCGGCGUCUGAAUCGUUUAACCAAAACGACUCUCGGCAACGGAUAUCUAGGCUCUCGCAUCGAUGAAGAACGUAGCGAAAUGCGAUACUUGGUGUGAAUUGCAGAAUCCCGUGAACCAUCGAGUUUUUGAACGCAAGUUGCGCCCGAAGCCAUUAGGCCGAGGGCACGCCUGCCUGGGCGUCACGCAUCUCGUCGCCACCCCAAUCCUGCCAACUACGGUCGGACGCGGGUGACGGAAGUUGGCCUCCCGUGCCUCGCGGCGCGGCCGGCCUAAAUGAGAGUCCUCGGCUCGGGACGUCACGACAAGUGGUGGUUGAAACAAUCAAACACGAGUGCUGUCGCGACGACGCCCGACGCCAGUGGGGGACUGCUAGACCCCGGAGCCCUCGGGCCCUCGACCGCGACCCCAGGUCAGGCGGGAUUACCCGCUGAG
This 656-nucleotide ribosomal RNA is filed under the name Chamaepentas hindsioides. RNAcentral's name for it is "eukaryotic LSU rRNA". The stretch from base 251 to 406 matches the Rfam family "5.8S ribosomal RNA". The record is from RNAcentral. Lineage: Eukaryota; Viridiplantae; Streptophyta; Magnoliopsida; Gentianales; Rubiaceae.